This 544-nucleotide ribosomal RNA is filed under the name Innospora majewskii. RNAcentral describes it as "eukaryotic LSU rRNA". It matches the Rfam family "Eukaryotic large subunit ribosomal RNA", at positions 204 to 648 of the family's 3401-position model. Lineage: Eukaryota; Fungi; Glomeromycota; Glomeromycetes; Paraglomerales; Paraglomeraceae. The record is from RNAcentral.
CAUGGAGGGUGAGAAUCCCGUCUUUGGUCGAUGUUCGGACGGCACACGAUAGACUUUCCAAGAGUCGAGUUGUUUGGGAUUGCAGCUCAAAUUGGGUGGUAAACUCCAUCUAAGGCUAAAUAUUGGCGAGAGACCGAUAGCGAACAAGUACCGUGAGGGAAAGAUGAAAAGAACUUUGAAAAGAGAGUAAAACAGUACGUGAAAUUGUUGAAAGGGAAACGGUUGAAGUCAGUCGUGCCGGUGGAAACUCAGCGAUUUUCCUUUGGGGAAGUUGUGAAAUUUUUCGCAUGGCAGGUCAGCAUCAGUUUCUUGAGUGGUAAAAAGGUUCUGGUAAGGUAGCUCUUCUCGGAGAGUGUUAUAGACCGGAGCAAAUGCCCCUUGCGAGACUGAGGAUUGCAGCAGACACCAUUCGUGGAGCGGCCCAUGAUCUCUGUCCGGCUCCCCGUGCUCAACAGCAUGCUGAGUGGGUGUGGGGACGCUUUGAACACCAGGUUGCGGAAGCCAGCGGUUUGCUAAGGAUGUUGACGUAAUGGCUUUAAACGAC